UCCCUCUUUUUCCAGCGUUAAUCGGAAUUACUGGGCGUAAAGCGCGCGUAGGUGGUUUGGUAAGUCGGAUGUGAAAUCCCCGUUCUCACCCUGGGAACUGCAUUCGAAACUGCCUGGCUAGAGUUUGAGAGAGGGAAGUGGAAUUCCACAUGUAGCGGUGAAAUGCGUAGAUAUGUGGAGGAACAUCAGUGGCGAAGGCGGCUUCCUGGCUGAAAAAGGCCACUGUGGCGCGAAAGCGUGGGUAGCAAACAGG
This 253-nucleotide ribosomal RNA is filed under the name uncultured bacterium. RNAcentral describes it as "partial 16S ribosomal RNA". It matches the Rfam family "Bacterial small subunit ribosomal RNA", at positions 524 to 776 of the family's 1533-position model. The record is from RNAcentral.